Molecule: long non-coding RNA, 2202 nt
Filed under: Bemisia tabaci
Lineage: Eukaryota; Metazoa; Arthropoda; Insecta; Hemiptera; Aleyrodidae
Description: lncRNA ENSSSA3NGG005754
Source: RNAcentral
CGGACUCGAUGGAAGUGGUAUACUGGUACAGUUAAAACGUUUUAGCGUCUCUUAGUUUUUGGCACGUAAUGAUUUCGCUAAAGCACCUGGUCACUCUAAGCCUCCUUAUUACAUUCUCAGUUUUGAGCAACAAUGAAAAAAAUGAGGACGUACUGACCUGUUCAGAGCGAUGUAGACAAGAAUAUGGGUACAUCAACAGUUCCGAAGGCACCCGCAUUUUCAUCACGAUCGGGGCCAUCGAUGAUAACGAGGUUACGAUUACUGCAGAGGGAAACAGUCUUGAGCACAAGUACGAGAGACGCCAAGAGAAAUGCGAAUGCCGAAUCAGCACCGAGCUGGAGGCUUUACUGGAAUCGAAACAGCUCAGUGGCACCCAAUGGGAUACAGUCAAAUACCAGCUUCGUAAUCGACAACUGCUCGAGGUCCGCAAAUGGGUGGAGCAGCACACAGGCGAAAAAGUCCAAUUCCUCGGGGCUGAGGAGCAGAACAAUUCCCCAAACACAGGCCCAGUUUCGAGCGGAAAAGAGAAAAAACGGGAGCAUGCGCUCAGCGAAGAGGAAUGCAAAGACAAGUGCCACAAGGAGGCCGGAUACCGCUUAGUCGAGACAAAAGAUAAGGUAGUGCGGGCAUGGAUCACAGAGGGGUAUAUUCGUCAGUCACGAAUCUGGUCAAAGUCGAAAAAAUGCGAAUGCAAGACCAACGAGGUUCUUAUGAAUUACCUGCGUCACAAGAGGAUCGACACGCGGAAAUUCGAAUCGCUCCGCAAGAAGGGAAAGUGGGAGAAAAUGGAGACAUGGUUGAAGGAGUAUGAGCUAUCUUUAUUAGUACAUGGACAGGAAAGGGGCGAUGAUGAUCCAGUUGAGGAUGAGACGAGCUGUACAAAAAAAUGUUGGAAAUCGCAUGGGUACAUAGAAGGAGAGAUCCGAGGCUCCGUAUUUUCCUCAUGAUCGGGGUCAUCAAUGAUAACAAAUAUAUUAAGGUACACGAAGAGCUACAAAAAGACCUGGAUGAAUGCGAGUGCCACAUCAAUCCAAGCCUGAAAAAUCUACUGAAAUCCAAGGGACUCAAGAUCGAGGAAUUCGAAGAGGCAAACAUCGAGCAUAACUAUAAAGCCAACGAAUGGCUGCUGGCACAAGUGGCAAAUAUGGGCAAGCAAGUCCACUUCCUCGAUAAUGAGAAGCAUAAAAAAUCCCCAAACACACCAGGACCCAAAGAUUUGCUGACCGUGAAGGGAUGUGAGGAGCAUUGCCUUGAAAAAGAGGGUUACAUCGAAUUAGGACCAUUCAAUGCGGAUCAUUUAAAAGUCACGAAUGGUAAAGUGGUGGACUCAUGCAUGGGGUCGAAAUGCAAGUGCGAAAUCAACGGAGAGUUUCUUGAAUAUUUGGAACGGAAGGGUCUGAAUUCUCGAACAUUCAUGUUGCGGCGCACACUAGGGAAGGGAGCAAAAUGGUUGAUUGAAAACAAGAUCGAUAUCAAGUUCAAACAACUGCCAUUGCCUGUUAAACAGAGGCAUCAACAUCCUCCACCACCGGCUGAACUGGAGCAUCACCCUCUUCCGCAUCCGAUGAACAGAAGCAUCAACAUCUACCUAAACAGAAGAAUCCUCCGGCUGAACAGGAGCAUCACCCUCUUCCGCCUCCGAGUGAACAGAAGCAUCAACAUCUACCUAAACAGAAGAAUAACCAUUCAACAUCUCCAAGUGACCAGACGCAUCACCGUCUACCACCUCUACCUAAACAGAAGCAUCAACUUACACCACCUUUAGCUGCACACGAGCAUGAAAGUAAGCAAUGCCGUCUAUGACCUUCAACUGAACCUUCAAGCGGACGGGUCUGUACACUUAGAUGUCAGAAAACUUUUGGGUACAUCACCGCGGAGGAGACUCGGAAUCCAAAAUAUACGUCACGAUUGGAAUCGGAACAAAAGGAUCGCGUGAGUGCCAACCAAACGAAGAACUAAAACCGCGAAUUGGAGAUGUACUUUACAAAGCAUUCAAGAAGGCAUUGGAAGAAGACGUGGCUGAGGGUCUCCAUGUGUUGCGCGACAACGAGUUCGCAAUCCAUUUCGAUGAUCCCAAAACGAAAAGCUAAUAUGUUUCCAGUUAAAUCCUGCAUGGUAAAUAAAUUCGAAAAUCCUGCAAUUCGUAUGACAAACAGACUUAAUUUUUUUGAAGUAACCCCCCUUCCCCUUCCCAAACAUUUG